Molecule: long non-coding RNA, 16306 nt
Filed under: Citrus maxima (pomelo)
Lineage: Eukaryota; Viridiplantae; Streptophyta; Magnoliopsida; Sapindales; Rutaceae
Description: long non-coding RNA (CMAX_LNC003435)
Source: RNAcentral
AGAUGAGGGGUCCAGGAGUAGUACCAGAGAGAUGAUGAUGACGGCGGAGGAGGGGAAGGAGGACGAGGCGUUGCACGCUGGCAACCUUAGAAUCGACCUUCGCAAAAUCCCUCUCUAACUUUUCAAAAUUUACAAAUUUAAUUUAAUAUUUAUCUCAUUUAUCAUAAAGUCCCUAUUAAAUUUUAAAAAUAACCAAAACAUUAAGUAUUUUUCUUUAACUUCCAACCCACAAAGAAAUUGUUAUUUUGAGAUUUGUUGCACGCUAACUCUCCUCACACAAAAAAAAAAAUAUAGAAAUUAUUUUAUCUUAUUGAGUUUAUCAAAAUGAUUUUUCUUCAAUGAAUCUUAUGACACUUAAAAUUCAAUUUGAUGUUUACAUUACAUAGGUGGGUUCUAAUAACAAAUUUUCAAAAUUGAAAGAGAUUGAUAGGCUAACAAGAAAAAUAGUUGAUACUAAAAAAGAUAAAUUGUAUUAAUUGAUUUAUUUAUGGAUAACAUUAGCAUUGAUUUUACUAGUUGUCAUGACGACAGUAGUAAAAUGCAUUUUCAACUAUGGAUUUUGUGAAAAAUCUUCUGUGAAAUCAAAUUAGAGAUUAAUAAUUGAGUAAUAUUAUUGUUGCACACGUAGAAAAAGAUUUAUUUUGUAUUCUUGAUGAUAAGUUUAUUUUUUAACGUUUUUAACAUAUGAAAACAUGUCGAGAUCAAUUAUAAAUGUAUUGAAUAUAUUAAUGAAUUUUUAUUUUUGAUACUUGUUACUUAUUGACCUUUUUUAGAUUAUAUUAUUAUUUAAACUUAGCCCUUAUUAAGAUAAAUUUCUGACACCGCCACUACUUUGAACUCUAUCAUAAUAGAAUUAUUAAGGAGAGGAACAACCUUCAGACUGUAUCAUGAUAAAAUUAUUAAGAAAAGUCUCAAUCGAUAGAAGAGUUAUGAUCAAUUUCUAAGUAUAAAUAUCAUUAGAUCUCUAAUUGUAAUAUAUCAAAAUAUUAAAAAAAAAAAACUAUUUGCAACAUCAUUAUUCUUAUUCUAAUAUCAUGUUUGGAUUUUACCAAAUAAAACUCAAACUCUUCAAAGCGCACAUCUCAAACUACUACAAUUAUAACUACUUUUUUGAAUUAAAUAAAUAUCAUUAAUCUAAAGUUCUCCUAGUUCGAGGAUCCAAAAACGAACACUACGAAUUCACUGUAAAUUGGGUUUGGGAUCUUGAAUGACUGUGAAAGUUGGAAUGCAUUUUUUUUUAAUUUUUGUGCAUUUUUUUGGAGAGAGAAAUUGUUGUUUAAAUAAAGAUUAUCUUCAGAAUUAAAGUGAGUGCUGAUAGCAGCAAGUGAUUUUAUAGUAUAAUUUAAUAGUGUUUACUUAAAAAAGGGUAACAAUAGGAUUUUAGAGAUGUGACAAUCCUUUAGCAAACUUAUCAUUUAUGUAAUAUUAAUAUAAAACUACAUCUUUCAAGCACUGCAUUGAAACAUAAUCACAGACUGCGCUUAUGGUCUUACAAAAACAUGUGCUACGUACUAGCAAGAUGUUAUUAUUGUUACUAUACAUUGCGGUUCCAUGCAUGCUUGUUGAAUAAUUUAUGGAUGACUUGGCUGUGGACCUCUCGGAGGUAGUGGUUGAGCCGGUGGAUGAUCAGUCACACGACCGUAUGGAUGUUCAUUUACGUGACCGUAUGGAUGCGGAAGAGCAAAGGAUGGUUGCAAAAGAAGAAGCAUUAUUAUGCAGCAUAACUCCAAAAGAAACCAAAGCAGACUGUUCAGCUUCAUCUCAUUUCUCAUUUUAAUUGCCCUCUUACCACAUAGAGUUUUCUAAAGAUGUAUACAAAAUUAUUAGAUGAAUGAGAAGAUAUAAGUUAUUAUAUAGGCCCCUUUCCUUCAACCAUUUUCCAGUCAAAAAAUUAUAAAAAACAAACGCAAAUAAGUCAAGUCAAUUUUCAUCUUGAACAAGUCGAAUGCAUAUAUAUUUUUUCCGAUAUUCCUAUCCUAAGUGUGAAUCCAUAAAAGAAGUUGCUGACUUAAUUUUCUUGUUUCUCACUUUAUUUAAUUUUUAUAAAUUUGUCUCACGAUCAAUUAAUUGAAGAGUUUGGUGGAAAUUCAAUUUACUAUAAUCAGAUCAAUGUAAUUUAAUUAUUUUUCUAUUUACUUGAUGUCAGGAAAAUUAUGAAUACUUUGUAGAAUUUAAAGGAUUAAAAAUUCUAAUGCAUAUAAUUUUAUUUUUCAAACUGAAUAAACAUAUCAUUAUUGCUUCUUAGAACCUAUUACUUGUAUUUUAUGUUUCUGUCUCUUUUCAUAAUUUUUUUUUUUUUUUACUUUUUCUUUCAUUUUCCCGACUCCCAAACAUCACUAAUCCUUGAUUUUUUUUGGAGUAUUAACUGCUUGUUCCUCCAAACAUCGACCAACUGUUAGUCUAAUCACUAUCAAGAGACAACGUAUUCUGUAGCGGGGUUUUUCAUUUAUUGUCUUGUUACUUCUGAACGGGACUAAUUAAACCUUUUCAUAGGAAAGUACCAUCCAUUAUACACUUAUUUUGCUUUUCAUUGAAAAUGUUAAUAAUCAUAAUAAAUUAGAUUGAAUUAAUAAUUUUUGCCUCUGUGAUAUAAAUAAUCGGUUUAUUGGAUUUUCUUCUCUUUCAUUGAUUUUGCAACUGUGACUUCUGAGUCGGGUUAAGGAUUGACAAAAACGUUGUAACCCACAAAGCACGCAUAAUUAAUUAAUGGGCCACUAAUUUCUUCUUUCUUAAAAGAUUUUUUUUUGCAGGGAGACUGAACAAAAGACUAAUUCUUGGUAAAGAUCAGAAUCAAAUGGGUAUCCAUCACAAAUACAAGUCAAGCCACACAAUUUUUCUUGUUAUACUACUUAUUGGCACUUGUGAUCCUUGAAUUAUCGAACGAAUAGUAAGAACACUUCAACAUCCGUCGUUAUAAGGACAGCAAUUCGUCCUCUCUUUGAUGUAAUACUUGGGCAAUGUACAUUGACUUUUCAUUAAAACAAGCAUUGUCCAAUUAAUUUGCAAGUGGACUUUCCCACAAGAUAUAAGGGUGGGCAUAAACCGGUUCGGUUCGGACAGAACCAAACCGAAACCGAAAUAAAAUAAAAUAAAUUAUUUUGAUUCAGUUCUGUUUGGUUUGGUUUAUAUUAGGAAUUUUAAUAACUUUUCUUUUAUAUUUACUAAAUUUUUGGACUUUUCACCUUAAUUUUUUUUCUUAAUUCAAUUCAAUUGUAACCAUUACAAUUCAUGAUUUAUACAAAAUAUUAAUUUAAAAUAAUUUUAUAAUAAAUAAAUUUUGUUAUUUAUGGAAAAAUAAACUUUUUUUAUUUUAAGCAUUGAACCAAUUUCUUCAAUUCGGUUCAUUUUAAACCAAAUUGAAUAAGAACCUUUCGAUUCUUGAAUUUCUCAACCAUUUGGUUAAUUGAACCACUAUUACAUCAUCUGCUCUAAUGUCUCCCCGAAUUGGGAGAGCUUGCGUUGCAAUUAGGGGAGACAUUAGAAAUCGACACAAUAAGAAAUUGUUCUGAAACUGGGUAUUGUAUUUAAAAUUCUACGGUGAACUGAGUGUUGUAUUUAAAAUUCUACGGUACUUAGAAGCUACUGGCCUUUAGUCUUUUGUCAUUAAUUAUUACUUGUUAGAAAAAUUCAGAUGCAGUAUUGUAUUUAAAAUUCCACGGUACUUACAGGCUAUGGCUAGCUAGCUGUUGGUCUUUUUUUUUUUUUUGAUUACAUGAGACUAUUGCUCAGAUUACAACUCAUAUACAUGAGACUAUAACUGAUAUUUACAAAUCAGACUAUUACUGGGACCAACUUACAUCAUUGCUAAUGGAGCUCUGCCCAGAUUUUAACCCUCACAAAUAUUCGAGGGAUGUCUAUUCCUCACUCAUGAGUAAGGAAGAAGACUACCUUCACUCAAAUGAAUUGAGGAAGAAAAUACCCCCACAAUGCUUUUGUGGGGGUUCGAACUGCUGCCCUCCAAGUUGGAGGGCAGCGGCCCUGGCCACUCGGGCUGAGCCGAGUGGUUCUAGCCGUUGGUCUUUUGUUAGUAAUUAUUGCUUGUUAGAAGGUAAAUGCUAAGUUACAUUUAAUAUAACUUACAACACAGACAUGAACAUUAUUUUUUUAAUUAUUUAUAUUUUGAAAAUUUAAUCAUAAAAAUUAUAUUAAAAAAUUUAAUUAUAAAUAUGUGUAAGUUAAAGUUUUUACUGUGACCUAAUUUUCUUAAUUAUCAAUCAUAACCUAACUUACUUCAGCUACAUGCCCCGCUCCUUAUAUACAUACAUAUAUAGAGGACCAAUUAUCUCAACUACUUAGCAACUGAUGAUCUAACAACCAUUUUUUAUAGAGCUUCUCAUGUAGUGCUCUUUACUUCUUAGAAAUAGCUUCCUCUGUUGGUCGCCUCGUAGGCUAUUUACCCCUCAAACCUACCGAGACAUUCCCUUUUGGUUUUGGACCCCAUGACCUCAAUAAUGGGAAUCGCCUCUUGGAACAGGCCUCACAUCCCUAUAUAUAUAUAGGGUUCCUCUAUGAUGCUGUAAAUUUUUUUACAGCAUCAAUAAUGUAUUAAUUGUGAACCAUUAGAUCUAAUCAAUGGUAUACAAUAUUUGUACUAAAAAAAUAAUUUAAAAAUAAUGGUAACCGUUCAAGUGGGUAGAUAAUUUUUGUAAAAUAAUUGUGACCACCCUUAGAGUUUGAAACAAUUUCACUUAAAUAGUAUAUUUUAUUUAAAAUUACUUUUCAGCCCUCCUUUAAAUUUGUAAUAUGAUAAUUUCUUUUAAAUAAAUCUUCCAAAAUCAGUUACCAUUAAGUAUAAAAUAUAAUAUCAGGUAGGCUAUUUAACACAAAGUCUUGUAAUAAUUUGUAUUGUAUGAAUUUAAUUACAAACCAUUAAUACCUAAACAAUAAUGAUAAUAGAAAGUAUUGCAAUAAACUAUUUUAUAUGUGUUUUAUUAAUAAUACUACAUGAGUCACAACAAAUGAGAAAUAUUUUAUUCACCAAUUAUUAUUGAAAAAUAUAUAUGUCUAUAUAACUAUAGAGUGAGAAAUAUUUUGAUUUAAAUUUUUAUCAAAAAAUUAAACUAUUUAUUUCAUGCUAUUCAAUGGUGGAGGAUAUAACAUUAUGAAAUGAUGCUUUGACUUUCAAUAUCAACCAUUAGAAUAUAAGAUAUUAGUGGCUCAAAUACUGUGCCAAAAUUUUAAGUUAAAGUAUCACAAACCAUAUCUUUAUAAUGGAAAUAUAAAAACAAACAAUGAUUUUUUUCCUCAUUUUGUCCAUUAAAUAUUAUUUGAUGUAAUAUUUUAUUUAUUGUCACUAUUAAUUAUCAUAAUAAAAGUAAUGACUCUUCGUAGCAUAUAAAUUUUAUAAUUACUAUCAAAGAAUAACAAUAAAAUAAUCUUUCAUGAUUCAUAAACUAAAGUUAAUUAGGAAUAUGUGUUAGAUUUAACUUUUAUGAAAUUAAAAAAGUGACAUUUGAAAAUAAAAUAAAAACAGGCUUGUGAAAGUUAAGUUUUAUAAGGCUGAGAUAAUUUCCUACCAUGUCAAUAAAAAUCUAAAAAUAUAAAUGAUUUUCUUUCAAUUUUUUUCCCACGUAAAUAUUAUUGAAGGCAAUAUUAUAUUUAUUGUCACUAUUAACUAUCAUAACAAAAGUAAUGACUCUUCAUAACAUAAAAUUUUAUAAUUACAAUCAAAGGAUAUCAAUAAAAUAAUCUUUUACGAUUCAUAAACUAAAGCUCAUUAGGAAUAUAUAUUCGAUUUAACUUUUAUGAAAUUAACAAAGUGAUAUUUGAAAAUAAAAUGAAAAUAUAUAAGCUUAUAAAACUUAAAACUCCUAACAUGUAAGGAUAUUAACUGUAAGAUAAAUAUAAAGUUAAGAAAAUAAGUAUGUUAAAUGGGUAUUAAAAAUAAUACAUACUUCAUGAUCAAUUAUACAAUGACCCUUACUAUUGUAUAAAAUAAUGAGUAUUUUAAUAUACGAUAUUAAAUUUUAUUAAAACAUGUGUGAUCAAGUAAUUUUUAUGUUACAAGCAAUCUCAACAAUGAGUUUAUUGAUGUAACUAUGACAUUUACUUAAGUAUAUGUAUUUAGUUGUGUUAUUUAUUAGUGUUAUAUCAUAUAUAAAUUUUGCAAUUGCAACUUAUUUAUUUGAUUUGUGUUAAAUAACCUACCAUUAUAUUUUAUACUUAAUGGUAAUAGAUUUUAGAAGAUUUAUUUAAAAAAAAAUUAUCACAUUUCAAAUUUAAAGGGGGAUUGAAAAAUAAUUUUAAAUAAAAUAUGCUAUUUAAGUGAAAUUAUUUCAAACUCUAAGGGUGGUCAUAGUUAUUUUACAAACUUCUCCGCCCCUUACACGUUUGUUAACCGUUUAUCAUUAUUUUUUAUUUUUAUUUUUACCUACAAAUAUUGUGUACCAUUGAUUAAAUCCAAUGGUGCACAAUUAAAAACAUUAUUGAUACUGUAAAAAAAUUACAGCAUCAUAGGGGAACCCAUAUAUAUAUAUAUAUAUAUAAGGUGCGAGCACCCUCAUUUAUUUUAAUGCGGACAUGCUAUUAAGUUGUACGAUUUUAUAGAGUUAUUUUUCAAUGUAUUAUAAAGUCAUGCAGUUUAAUAGUGUUUUUCAUUGAUUUAAUUAAGCUGUAUGGCCUAACAACAUGUAUGCAUUAAAAAAAAAAAAAAAGUGAGCACCCGCACUAGAGAAGGAUUUUCAAUGUUCUAUAAAGCUGUGCGGUUUAGCAGUGAUCUUCACAGACUCUAUUAAACUGCAUGGCUUAAUAACAUGUCUGCAUGAAAAAAAUAAAGGCACCUGCUCUAGAGAAUCACUACACACACACACACAAAUAAGCUUUUAAUAAGUCGAAAUUUUAGUAUUUUCAAGUUUAAUAUUACUAAUAUUUUAUUUUGAUUUGAUUAAUUUUAUUUAUUUUACUUUAAUGACUUAAACCUAAUGAUUGCUUACUAAACUUGUGUUUUUAUUUGUUUAAUUGUUAAUGGUAAUUAUCCAAAAUUUACUUAUUAAUAUUGUUGACAAUACUUGUAUAUUGAUCAAAGGAUAGAGCAAGGCAUUCAUCAUAGUGAUGACAAUUUUCCUACAACAGAAACAUUUUAUAUUAGAUUGACAUAUUUUGUGUAUUUGUUUUAAUGUAGAAACUUUAAUUUCUCAUUUACAUUGAUAAAAUCUAAAAUUGAGUAUUUUUAUGUGGAUUUUUAAGCUACUACUAUAACUUUGUAGUUUGAAUUAUAUAAUUUAAAUUUUUAUAUAUUAUUGAAAGUACUCUUUUAAUAUUUGUGAGUUUAAAUUUAAAUCCCGUUUAAAUCCCACAAGCAAGGGUGGCCAACAGGCCGUGCCAGCACGUUAAGUAAUGGCCCACAAGGGCCUGGCACGGCCAAUGGUACGAGGGGCUCGUGCCGUGCCCAAAAAAGUCCAUCAACUUUUUUUUUCCUUUAAGCUCAUAUGUCCAUCGUGCCUAAAAGUUCACGUGUCUGACGUGCUUUAUUAAGGCCCACGUGUUUGUCGUGUUUUUUUAAGCUCAUCAGCUUAAUAAUAAUAAUUUUAUUAAGAGAACAAUUAACAUUUUAUUAUCAAUUUAUCAGAAUUUCAUGACUAUAUAUUUAAUUUCACAAUAACCAAUCAUAAUACAACAAUACAUAAAUUUAAUUUCAUAGAUCAUAAUAAUGAUUAAUUAAAAUUAAUAUUAUAAUUCUGGAAUAACAAUUACAAGAAGUCACAACUACGAGAUAUUAAUUAUAACAAAUCAUAGGUCACAACUUAUCAUAAAAAUAUUUCAUUCAUAAUUUUAUUUUUUGUGUAUAAAUACGAAAAAUAUUUCAUUAUGAAACAUAUCUCUAUUAACUCUUAGCUAAGUUAUGAUUUCAUAAAUGAAAUAUUAAUUUUGUAAAUUUUUUAUUUAUCAUUUAUAAAAUCAUGAUAUUUAUAAUUUUAUUUAUUAAAAUCAUUAUAUUUAUUUAUUCAUUUAACAAGUAUUUUUUCAUAACCCUUUCAUCUGGUUACCCGCCUUUUGUUUAAUAUAUUCAUUGGACCGUUGCACCUGUACUCUAUUUCAGUUUAACUUCGUUCCCGUUCGUUGGAUUUAAAAAUCGCAUAUCUAAUGAUCCAAAACGGCAGGCUGUUUGUUACAGAUAUUGUAACAUAGGCGCUGCCAUAUAUAUGGGAUAAUGGUCCUCUACGAUAUUUACAUGCUACACAGCUAGCUAGCCUCUAGUCUUUUGUCACUAAUUAUUACUUAUUAAAAAAUUCAUUGUUAAUUUGUCAUGAAAAUAUAUAUGGGUCAUAAUCCUCUUCUAAUCUAAUUUUUUGAAGGUUUGCAGGAGAUUAACACCUUUGUAAUUUUCAGUUUUGUAUGGAUAAGUUUUUUAAAAUAAAUUUUAGGCCAUGUAGCAUUAGUCAAAAUAAUGGGUUUUGACUUUUGUGGACUAUAAAAUUCAUUUACCUGAACUAGGUUUUGUAUUAAAUUUUAUCAACUAUUUUUAUAUAUACUUCAUUAAUUUAAAUCAAUAUAUACACAUUUGGCUACUUUUGGCGAUAAUUGGCUCUACCAACAGAUGCCAAAACCAAUCUCAUGCUUUCUAUAUUUAAAACUUAUAAGUUUCAAAUCUACACAAAGAAUAAAUUUUAAUACAUAAAUUAACCCUUAAAAAACUCAUAUGCUAUCAUAGAUCAAGAUUUCCAUGGAAAUAAAAUUACCACAUAUUUACAAUUCUGACAGCAAUAUUAGGCAUCCUAAUAUGAAAGUCUAAAUUUGAAUAUCAACUGAUCAUGUGAUAUGAAAUACUAACUAGGCAACCCAAGAGGGGGGUGAAUUGGGAUUUUAAAAUUUAAGCUGAGCAAAUCACACAACAAUUUAAUCAAAUGUUUUAAUAGAAUCAAAAACAAUAAAUUCAAUAAAGCACAAUAAUAAAAGAGUAAGGGAAGAGAGAGCAAACACAAUUAUUUUUACAUGGUUCGGCAAUCCUCGCCUACGUCCACGCCUCCAAGCUCACCCGGCUUGAGGAUUUCACUAUCCAAGCCUCCCAAUGCUUCAAAAACACUUAUAAUUGACUUCAAAUGUGUCAAUCAACCUUUACACCAAGAGAUUAUCCUCAAUCUCUUAACCCAAGUGUAUCCCAACACUUACAAUCACUCAAAACAAAGAUUACAAAUGUGUUUUUCUCUCACACAAAAUAUAUGAUUACAAAUAUAUGCUCAAUGUGUGAAUAAAUUAAUCAAGAACGAAUUUAAAGUUCAAUAAAUGUUGUAUUCUCGAUUAUAAGCUCAAUGAUAAUGUUGUGAUCCACCUUUGUUUGAAUUUGAAUGAACUUAUUUAUAGUUGGAGCUGAAAACUAGCCGUUAUAAACUUUCUGCGCGAAAUCGGAUCGCCGUUAACUGUUAUCGGUUAACCGUUUUGAUUGGUCCAAGUGACCGUUGGGCUGAAUUUCAAAUAAUCGAUUAACCGUUUGGAAUUAUCGAAUCGCCGUUAAUUUCUAGAAUCCUGUAAAAAUAAAUUUGGCUUAACCGUUCUUACUAAACGAUUCAAGGUUAGCAAUUUGGAAAUAAUCGGUUCACCGUUUUCCGUAAACAGUUCAUCGUUAUUUUUCAGAGUCAUCAUUUUAACAAUACUUUGCAGCACAUGCUUUCUGGAAAUUAUCGGUUAGCCGUUUGCUACAGUGAAAUUAUUUUCUAAGAUUAUAGUUUUGCCCCAAAACUUUCUAUAAUUAUACUAUGGCCCAAAUCGUCAUAAAACUUUACAAAUAAGUCCAUUUCCAGAGUUUCAAAACUUUUUCAAUUUAGACCAUUAAUUGAAAACAACCAAUUUCAUAAAAUCAUUUUUCCAUUAAGUAUAAAACCUUUAUAUUAUGAAAAUAAUGAUUUAUUUAAAAUAAUUUGAGCUUUUAAAAACUUAAUCAUUCUUAAUCUUGUUUGUUAUCAUCAAAAUUAACAUUAUGGAUACAUAUAUACUAACAUGAUAUUCAUUCAUUCAAUGAUGAUUAAGCAGUUUUAUAAAAUAUGAAAUCCAUCAUUCAAUAAAUAAGUGACGCAUGCAUUGGGGCUUAACUCGGGACUUAAAUGUUAGAAUCCUUAACUUUAUUGAUAAUAUGAUGGAAAUAAAACUAACAAAAGUCUAUGUAUUUGGGUGGAAACUGGAAAUAGAAUACUUUCACACAAAAGUUAAAACUAAAAGAAAGUGCUAAGAUAGAAAAGUGGGUGUUAACCGGAGAGGAAGUAGAAGCUUCCUCCCCGCUGAAGUAUAUAGAUGCUUUUGCUGUGAAGCAAAGAUGAGCACAGAGAGAGACGGAAAGAUAAAAGUAGCUUCUACUUCUUAUAAGAUUCCACUUAAUUUUGCACAAAUAACUAUCAGGCAACUAAUUCAAAUAAGUGAAGCUCUCAAGGACGAAUAUACCAAUAAAACAUAAUUUUUUUUUUUCACUGCAAUAUGAAGACAUCAUUGCUGGUUUGACUUAAUAAAGUUUAAAGCAGUCAAGUACAAGGAUUCGAACAAAGUCCUACAUGGAAUAUAAACCAACAGAAAUUGCCAUAAACAGCAUAUAAAUAACGACCUUCGAGAUAUGAUAAAACUCACUCACCUGGACGCUUGUAUGAGUGAUCAAUGAGGCUCAUGUUCCAGAACUGUCCUGCAUUGCAAUUCUUGGAGGGAUGCCCCAAGGUCUUCUCAAGCUAGGAGAGCCUACCUUGUAAUUUGUUGUAUGGAAUGCGGGCCCAGCCAAUUCUGCACAAAAAAUUAUUUCUAGGGCUUUUGACCUGAUUAUAAUAAUAAGUAAUUGCGUAAACAUCUUUGCAUGCAUGCAUUCUAGAACCAUUAGUGAUUGGCGAAGAACCCGCGAACUCUGUCGUUUGGAAAUCUUACCGACUGGUAUUUCCUUCUGGUAUUUGAUUUCAAAUACUCUAUACAGUACCCAAUAAGCUGUUGCAUUAUAAUGCAGCAUAACUCUAAAUAAAGAAACGAAAGCAGCUCCAGCUUCAGCUUUAUAUCUUAACUUUCCUUUAAUUUCUCCCACACCGCCCACUGUUGGUGUAUCAUUUUUCCAACAUGUAUCAAGAGAUGAGUGAGAAGUUAUAUGGGCCAGUGUGCAUUACUGGAGCCCUUAUGAUUCCAUUAGCCCAUUAUUAUUAUUCAUGUGGAUUUAAUUUUAUCAAUUAUUAAUGAAAUUAAUCCAAUCUGAAAAGUUAUUUUAUGAUAGAUUUAUUCUAUUAAUUGGACAAACAACUAUCAGCCAACUAAUCUCAAAUAAUGAGCGAGGCUUUAUGCUUCAAAGCAAUUCUACUCCUAAGUUUUAGUACUUUUUAUUUCAAUAUGAAGACUUAAUUGGUUUGAGUUACUGUAAGCAAGUUUUUGUUUAUGCUUAGAUUUUAUGGACUAAUUAGGAUAUUUUGUUUUCUGACGCUUAAGUUUGUAUGCUAAAAUGAUUGGUUGAAAUAUACACAUAACAAGUAUUGAAUAGAAAAGGAAUAGUGCUCUAGAAGCGUCCAAGACUUUUUAAUAAAAUAAGGCAACAUUCACAAUAAGUACUAAAACAUAACAUAAUAUAUUAGUGUAAAAAUUGUAAAAAAUGCUUUUUAACUAAUUAAAUGUGGCGAUACUCAUAGUAAGCAUUAAAACAUAACAAUUAUUAAAGGUCAUGUCACUUCCCAAUACGUCUUUGUUUGACUUAGCCACAUAAAUUUCACUUCAGAGAAAGAUAAUGGACUAAAAAUUAAAUUUGGGCUAUGUCCUCUCCUUUCAAAACAAGAAGCUACCUUAAUUUAAGGUAGAAUUUUUUAUAUUUUGCAAGUGCAAAUUGACCUAAAAAUUAUUAAAUGUCAGCAAUCAACAUACUAUAAAUUGGAAUGCAAUGCAUGAAAAUAAAUAAGAAACACGAAACCAUCCGAACAAAUCUUGAGACACUUAAUUAGCAAAAGUAUUAGCAGCAUCAUUACUCCCUAUGAUACCAUUACGUAUAAUGUCGAGUUAUAAUGUCGAGUUAUAUUGUGACGUAUUAUAUCUUUAGUGGUUUAUCAAUGGUUAAGAUUAAACCUCCUACUUGUACAGUUCUAGAUCAAGAGCAUAAUAUAAGCGCAUAAUCACAACAUGCACUUACAAAUUAAAACCAAGUGUUCUGUGCAUGCAUUGCAUGCAUAUUGAAAUAAUUAUGGAUGACUUCCAAGAGGUGCCUAUGGCUAUGGAGACGACGCGAAGGCAAUAGAUAAUCUUUUAUGUGACCUGCUGUAUGAUCAAUGGGUGGAUAUUUACGAAGAAGCAAUAUGCAGCGGCAUAUGUACAACGUUAAUGGUGCGUUUACUUCAUGGCAUGGGAAUGCGGUGGAAUGAAAAUAGAAUGUGAAUGAGAAUUGACUGGAAUAUGAAUGAGGAAUGAAAAUGAGAUUUCAAUGUUUACUUGGCAAAAAUAAAUGAAAAUGGGAAUGUGGUGAAAUGUCAUUGACGUGUUUACUUGGCAAAAUAAAUAGGAAUGAGAAUCAAUUUACUAAAAUACCCAUAGUGUUAAAUAAUGUAAUUUUUAUUAACUAGAUACAUGUAUAAAUAUUAGGGAAAUUAUCAUUCGUAUACCCUAUAUUUGUUCUGUUAUCAAAAAUACUACAACACUUUGAGGGUGUAUCAAUCGUUCACCCUAAGUUGACGAAAUGUAUCAGCCGACCACCAAACUGUUAAUUGCCAUUUGAAAGUUAACGGAAUUACAGUGAAUUGAGGAUUUUACCCUUGAAAAUUAUCACUUGUAUACCCUUAAAUUCUUUUUUUAUCACUUGUAUACCCUUAAAUUAUCACUUGUAUCAUAUGAAAAGACCAGAUUACCCUUCUGGCGUUAUCAUAUUUAAAUGGCAACUAAUGAUACAUUUUGUCAACUUAGGGUGGACGAUUGAUACACCCUCAAAGUGUUGUAGUAUUUUUGAUAAUGGAGUAAACUAAGGGUAUACAAAUGAUAAUUUCCCUAAAUAUUAUUAGUAAAAUGAUGUUAAUUAAAAUAAUAAUAAUAAUAAAUGCUAAUAAUGAUGAUAAUAAUAAUAAUAAUAACAAUAAUAAUAAUAAUCAUUAAUAAUAACUAAAAUAAUAAAGUUAAUAAAAUUUAAUAAUAAUAAUGACAUUUAAAAUAAUAAAUUAAUUGUGAUUUGAACAAGGGUAAUUCAAGAAAUAUAAAAAAAUUAGAGGAAUAUAAAAGUAAACAUGGUUUCAUUCUCAUUCCCUCAUUCACAUUCCCAACCUCCCCAUGGGAAUAGAAUUUUCAUUCCUUAUUUUCAAAUUAUGUGGGACCUACAUAUUUUAUUCCUAUUAUUAAAUUACAUUUUGCCAAGUAAACAUAGGUAUUAUUCACAUUUCUUCAUUCUCAUCCCCUAAACCCUUAAGUAAACACACCAUAAAAGAAACAAUAGCUGCUUCGUCUUCACUUCUCCCUCAUUUCUAUAGAUCCUUUAAUUACUUCAAUUUUGAAGUAUCCACUGGGUCGUCCUCUCUUUGAGAUCGUGCAAAUUUGAAGUUAUAUAUAGAUGUUUAUAUAGGCCAAUUAAUUGCAUCCAGCCAUCCAUGCAUUCCAUUCAAAAACAUGAAGCACAAAUCUUAGAUAUUUUGGUUGAAGUUCCAACCCAAAAAUAACGCCGAGUACAAGAAAUGUUGGAAACCACGGCUACUUUUGGAAUUGUACUACUGUUGUACGAAUAAAAAGUUAAUUAAUGAUAUUAUGAUUAUUUUGAUAAAAUAAUAAAAAUCAAACAAUUGUAUAUAGUAUAAAAUCACCUUAGUUUCUAUAUUAAGUAUUUAUUAAACACUUUAAAGAUACAAUUAAGUGAUCAUAUUUAGAUCUGAACUCACUUGAACUUUUAAAAAUAUCAUGUCAUAGGUAUUUUUGUAUUUGGUAGUAGUACAUGAGUAUAAGAUUUAACUCUUUUUAUUUAUUUAUUAACUACCAAUAACCACUUGAAUUUUUGUUCAAUAUAAAAUUAGAUCAUGAAAGAACCAUGAUGCAGCCAUAACUCCUCAACAACACUAUAGCAUAUAGGUUGGUAUUUCAAAAUACCAAUAUCUUAACCUUAAAGUGGUAACAAACUCAUGAAAUGAAUAUCCACGCCCAGGAGUCCAAGACCAAUUGAUUAUCCCAUAUCAGAAACCUCUUGCAAAGUGAUUAAUAAUGCAACCUAAUGCUACUUUUUAUUAUGUUGCUAGAUAUUGACUGUAUUACUUUAUAUAAUAUAAUGCAGUAUACAAACAACAUGUCAAAAGCAACUUCAAUGUCUAAACGAUGUUAUAAAACUUUAAGAUCAAUUUAGUAUUACUGUUCAAAUAGCGAUUUUGCGCAUUUAUUCUGGGAAAAUGUCUUUUGUGUUCUUAGAGUAUUGCUCAUUCACUAUUUACGUGACAAGUUCUAAGAAAAUGUGUUUUGUGUUCUUAGAGUAUUGCUUCUUCACCAUUCAGUCUUGUCACAUGAAUAUAAAUAUUAUCAUAAUUCAUUGAAGCAUACGUAUUAAAAAGAAUGGAAAAGUAGCACCCAAGACUUCUCCGCAUUCUAGAAGCAUUUUCCCUUUGCACAUGACACGUGCUGCCCACAUACAUAAACACACAACAAAGGCAUCAUAUAAAAUUUGAGGGUAUUUUUGGAAUUCAGAAAAAAAGUGUCUUUCUGGGCUCUGUUGGGCUAAAAAUAUUUUACCUCAAAAUUGGGAAGAGUUCCAGCUUAGAACACCUCUUCAAAAUUUUGUUUUUUGUUUUUAAAUAUCCUUUUUUAUUUAUGAAAUACAAACUUAAAUAUUAAAAUUAACGUCUUUCCAUAAAAUUUCACCCUUAAAAAAAGUAUUUUUUCUAUUUAUAAAAUACAAAAAAAUCCUAAAAUUUUUAAUUUUUUUCAUUUUUUUAUAUGAUUUCUAUCUCUAUAAAUUAAAUUCUUAUAAUUUUUUUAAAAUAUAUACAGCAUAGGGGUAAAAUAUUUGUUAAAAUAAUAACUUAUUUAAGUGGUUAAAUAAGGUGUCUAUUUAGUAUAGGUUAUCUAAUGAUUAUAAGUACUUAUUUAAUUCCAUAAACUCUUUCCAAUUUUUUUUUUGUUGUUUAGUUGUUUUUAUAGUAGAGUUUUUAAAAAUUAAAUAAAUUAUUUUACCUCUACUAGUAAAAUCUUAAAUUUUAGACUUUUGAAAGUAGAGAUUAAAAAGUUUAUUUAAAAUGUCAAAAUAUCUAAAAUGAACUUGUUUGAUAAUGUUAUUUCAUUCUUUUUAUAAUUUAACUUUUAAAAAGCUUGUAUGUUAGAAUAAUCUUAUAAUUUUUUAGAAAAGCUUUCAUUGAUAACCAAAUAAUUAAUUUAUUUUUGUGAAAGUUCUACUAAUUAAAGUCUAUUUAAAUAAAUUUUUAUUUGAAAAGUUAUGAGAAACCGGCUGAAAUUCUAUUCAAAAUAAGAAAUGAAUUAAUUUAACAUUAUUUAUUUAAAUAAUUUAUGUGAAACAAACAGUGUUUUACAAGGGAUUUUAAGGGCUGUGAAUAAACGACCCAAUUUGAAAACUAAUAGCCCGAAAUAUGAAAUAAAAACAAGGCAUCCUAAAAACAAAAUUUUUAAACAAAUUUGAAGGCUGCUGCUGCUGCUGCUGACACAUUCAUCAACCCUUUAUCUUGCCACCGCCAAGGGUUCCAGCCGUGUUAUUUGUUAUAAUAAUAUUGCCGGCAAUUGUCAUUCAUCAUCAUCACUUUCUUUUAAUCCCCUUUAGUAUCUAUCAGCCACCAGCAUAUAUAGCAUCCGUCGAUUAGGGUUUCAUCAUCAAAACGACCAAAUGGGGAAGAACGAAAAGACAGGACUCGGAAGAGCCCUAGUGAAGCACCACAAUCACAUGAUCCAAGAAACCAAAGAAAAGGGAAAAUUCUACAGGAAGCAACACAAGAACGUUCUUGAAUCCGUCACCGACGUCAACGACAUCGACGCCGUCAUUCAACAGGCCGAGGAAGCCGAGGCCUACCCCGUCCCUAUCCCCCUCAUCAAUUUGUGAGUUCCUCCUUCUCUUUUCUUUUUUCUUUUUUUCAUUAAUCAAUAAAUGAAAUUAUAAAGUUUAAUCUAAUUUUUAUAAUAAUAAUAAUAAUAAUAAUAAUGGGUAUUUAGAGAUGAGGGGUCCAGGAGUAGUACCAGAGAGAUGAUGAUGACGGCGGAGGAGAGGAAGGAGGAGGAGGCGUUACAUGCUGGCAACCUUAGAGUGCCACGUAGGCCGCCGUGGAAUCCUUCAAUGUCUGUGGAGGAGCUUGAUGAUAAUGAGAGACAAGCUUUUUUAGCUUGGCGGCGGAGUCUUGCCAGGUUAGCUCUGUUUACAAUCGGCCUUUUUUUUAAUAAUUGAUUUUUAAUUCUUAUUUUUGUUUAUGCGGAG